Molecule: ribosomal RNA, 253 nt
Filed under: uncultured bacterium
Lineage: Bacteria
Description: partial 16S ribosomal RNA
Rfam family: Bacterial small subunit ribosomal RNA
Source: RNAcentral
UACGUAGGUGGGAAGCGUUGUCCGGAAUUAUUGGGCGUAAAGCGCGCGCAGGCGGCCUCUUAAGUCUGAUGUGAAAGCCCCCGGCUCAACCGGGGAGGGCCAUUGGAAACUGGGAGGCUUGAGUAUAGGAGAGAAGAGUGGAAUUCCACGUGUAGCGGUGAAAUGCGUAGAGAUGUGGAGGAACAACAGAGGCGAAGGCGACUCUUUGGCCUAUAACUGACGCUGAGGCGCGAAAGCGUCGGGAGCAAACAGG